GAUGAACGCUAGCGGGAGGCCUAACACAUGCAAGCCGAGCGGUAUUUAUUCUUCGGAAUAGAGAGAGCGGCGUACGGGUGCGGAACACGUGUGCAACCUGCCUUUAUCAGGGGGAUAGCCUUUCGAAAGGAAGAUUAAUACCCCAUAAUAUAUUGAAUGGCAUCAUUUAAUAUUGAAAACUCCGGUGGAUAGAGAUGGGCACGCGCAAGAUUAGAUAGUUGGUAGGGUAACGGCCUACCAAGUCAAUGAUCUUUAGGGGGCCUGAGAGGGUGAUCCCCCACACUGGUACUGAGACACGGACCAGACUCCUACGGGAGGCAGCAGUGAGGAAUAUUGGACAAUGGGUGAGAGCCUGAUCCAGCCAUCCCGCGUGAAGGACGACGGCCCUAUGGGUUGUAAACUUCUUUGUAUAGGGAUAAACCUUUCCACGUGUGGAAAGCUGAAGGUACUAUACGAAUAAGCACCGGCUAACUCCGUGCCAGCAGCCGCGGUAAUACGGAGGGUGCAAGCGUUAUCCGGAUUUAUUGGGUUUAAAGGGUCCGUAGGCGGAUCUGUAAGUCAGUGGUGAAAUCUCAUAGCUUAACUAUGAAACUGCCAUUGAUACUGCAGGUCUUGAGUAAAGUAGAAGUGGCUGGAAUAAGUAGUGUAGCGGUGAAAUGCAUAGAUAUUACUUAGAACACCAAUUGCGAAGGCAGGUCACUAUGUUUUAACUGACGCUGAUGGACGAAAGCGUGGGGAGCGAACAGGAUUAGAUACCCUGGUAGUCCACGCCGUAAACGAUGCUAACUCGUUUUUGGGUCUUCGGAUUCAGAGACUAAGCGAAAGUGAUAAGUUAGCCACCUGGGGAGUACGUUCGCAAGAAUGAAACUCAAAGGAAUUGACGGGGGCCCGCACAAGCGGUGGAUUAUGUGGUUUAAUUCGAUGAUACGCGAGGAACCUUACCAAGGCUUAAAUGGGAAUUGACAGGUUUAGAAAUAGACUUUUCUUCGGACAAUUUUCAAGGUGCUGCAUGGUUGUCGUCAGCUCGUGCCGUGAGGUGUUAGGUUAAGUCCUGCAACGAGCGCAACCCCUGUCACUAGUUGCCAUCAUUCAGUUGGGGACUCUAGUGAGACUGCCUACGCAAGUAGAGAGGAAGGUGGGGAUGACGUCAAAUCAUCACGGCCCUUACGCCUUGGGCCACACACGUAAUACAAUGGCCGGUACAGAGGGCAGCUACCUAGCGAUAGGAUGCGAAUCUCGAAAGCCGGUCUCAGUUCGGAUUGGAGUCUGCAACUCGACUCUAUGAAGCUGGAAUCGCUAGUAAUCGCAUAUCAGCCAUGAUGCGGUGAAUACGUUCCCGGGCCU
RNAcentral lists this ribosomal RNA (1344 nucleotides) under uncultured bacterium. RNAcentral describes it as "bacterial SSU rRNA". It matches the Rfam family "Bacterial small subunit ribosomal RNA", at positions 28 to 1381 of the family's 1533-position model. The record is from RNAcentral.